Long non-coding RNA from Oncorhynchus keta (chum salmon), 2144 nucleotides. RefSeq lists it as uncharacterized. The record is from RefSeq and is a predicted model, not a curated record. NCBI's taxonomy places the organism in Eukaryota, Metazoa, Chordata, Actinopteri, Salmoniformes, Salmonidae. The transcript has 6 exons.
AAAAAAUAUCUUAUAGGCCUACUAUUAGGAAUGAAACACUACAGAUUGUGUCAAAGAAAGCGCGCCUGAGCAGUCAGUGUAAUGCUUACUGUUCUUUUUUAAAAUGGUUUAUUUCACAUUUGUUUAUUAUCCAUUUCACGUGCUUUGGCAAUGUAAACAUAUGUUUCCCGUGUCAAUAAAGCCCAUAAAUUGACAUUUAAUUGAUACUGACCGGCACAGCCAAGAAGCAGGACCGAGUUUGAGAAAGCCAGUCUGUUGUUACCCACCUCAAUUUCACGCAACAGCAGCAACCGACACACACAAGCGAAAUGGUGGGUUUUAAGGGAAUUCUCUUUACCGAAAACGUUCUUUGCUGUGUCAAGCCAAAACAGGGCGGACUAGUCAGUCUAUGACUAGCUAGGGUGUUAUGAUAACAUUGGUGGCACUGGUUGUUCUUCAUGCAGGCAUUUACAUGAAUUUGAAUAGUUGAUUGCUAUUUGGUAACUCAGAAGCUAUUUGAUAGCCUUACAUGUUGGCUACAGCGCUUGAGCAAAGGACGUAAUGUAUGCUUAGAAUGGCAGCCUCAUGCUAAACUUCAAGCCAACAUUGAUCUACUGGCUCCCAGAGGCAGGGCCAUAAAAGGCCCCAGCUCACUCGACUGCCCCUCCCCUCUCCAACAGCCAUCAGCCCAGAGCAGCAUGAAGACAGGCCCCCAGAGGCAGGGCCAUAAAAGGCCCCAGCUCACUCGACUGCCCCUCCCCUCUCCAACAGCCAUCAGCCCAGAGCAGCAUGAAGACAGGCCCCCAGAGGCAGGGCCAUAAAAGGCCCCAGCUCACUCGACUGCCCCUCCCCUCUCCAACAGCCAUCAGCCCAGAGCAGCAUGAAGACAGGCCCCCAGAGGCAGGGCCAUAAAAGGCCCCAGCUCACUCGACUGCCCCUCCCCUCUCCAACAGCCAUCAGCCCAGAGCAGCAUGAAGACAGAACAGCUAAACGAUCAUCUGGGAAUCCUCCCUUCCUCAUGGAGCUUUUUGAAGAUUAUGUCCAGUGUCCAUCCUGCCAGCGGCGGUUCAGUGAGAAUGCAGCAGACACAUUCAAUUAUUGUUGGAGGUAAGCCCCGUCCAGAAGGUUCCUAUGGCUCUGUGAAGAACUGUCUGUCAGCAGGGGGACUCAACAAAACAGGAAAGCAGACAACUCCAACUCCAGGAACGAUGCUAAACGCGACAACGAUGUGGAUAAUGGUGGAUAAUGGUGGAAUAAUGGUGGAAUGAUGACAAUGUUCUGCCAUGAGUGCCAUCCAAGUACCCUGUAGACUGGGCCAAGUUCUGUUGUGAGUGUGGAUCCCAGUACCCUGUAGACUGGGCCAAGUUCUGUUGUGAGUGUGGAUCCCAGUACCCUGUAGACUGGGCCACGUUCUGUUGUGAGUGUGGAUCCCAGUACCCUGUAGACUGGGCCAAGUUCUGUUGUGAGUGUGGAUCCCAGUACCCUGUAGACUGGGCCAAGUUCUGUUGUGAGUGUGGAUCCCAGUACCCUGUAGACUGGGCCAAGUUCUGUUGUGAGUGUGGAUCCCAGUACCCUGUAGACUGGGCCAAGUUCUGUUGUGAGUGUGGAUCCAAGUACCCUGUAGACUGGGCGAGAGGAAAGAUAGAAGGGAGGAGGAGGAUAGGAGAAAAGAGAAGUGGGGAGGAGAAAAAUAGGAAAUGAAAUUGAAGGGGGGGGCAGUUUACUGGAACCCUGGGCUAUAUUGGUGUUAUGACACAUAAUACUGUUACCUAGCUAAAAUAGCACAAGGUCAGCCAGGCAUUUUUGGGGGGUCCUAACAUCACAGUCAAUUUGGCAUCAGUUGCCAUAACUUUUUAUGACAUUAUUAGGACAGGGUUAUGUUGGCUUAAUUUCCACUAUAAACACGAUUCCAUCCAGUCUCUAUGAACCAUGGUCUAUAAACCCUCUCCAAUGGAACUCACACUCUCAUCCCAUCCACUCCCUCCCUACCGUUUCUCUUCUCCAUUGCGUAUUCAAUGUGUUACUACUAUUGAAGUGCAAUAUGAUUGACUACUGAUUUUUUUUAAAUGAGUUUUAAGAGUAUUACGAAGCUGAAUGGAAUGUGUCAUUUGUGGGAUGCAUUAUGUUCAUUGGGUCAUGAGUAAAAUUAAAUGUUACGUAUUUGG